RNAcentral lists this ribosomal RNA (440 nucleotides) under uncultured prokaryote. Its description in RNAcentral is "bacterial SSU rRNA". It matches the Rfam family "Bacterial small subunit ribosomal RNA", at positions 21 to 444 of the family's 1533-position model. The record is from RNAcentral.
GGCUCAGGACGAACGCUGGCGGCGUGCCUAAUACAUGCAAGUCGAGCGGGGUUACUGCGUCAGAUUCCUUCGGGAAGAAGAUGCUUUAACCUAGCGGCGGACGGGUGAGUAACGCGUGGGCAACCUACCCUAAAGCCUGGGAUAACACCGGGAAACCGGUGCUAAGACCGGAUACCUUUCGGGGGAGGCAUCUUCUCCGAAAGAAAGGUUACGCUUUAGGAUGGGCCCGCGUCCCAUUAGCUAGUUGGUGAGGUAACGGCUCACCAAGGCUGCGAUGGGUAGCCGGCCUGAGAGGGUGGACGGCCACACUGGGACUGAGACACGGCCCAGACUCCUACGGGAGGCAGCAGUAGGGAAUAUUGCGCAAUGGGCGAAAGCCUGACGCAGCGACGCCGCGUGAGUGACGAAGGCCUUCGGGUUGUAAAACUCUGUCCUUGGGG